RNAcentral lists this ribosomal RNA (448 nucleotides) under uncultured prokaryote. Its description in RNAcentral is "bacterial SSU rRNA". It matches the Rfam family "Bacterial small subunit ribosomal RNA", at positions 355 to 796 of the family's 1533-position model. The record is from RNAcentral.
CCGGGAAUCUUGCACAAUGGGCGAAAGCCUGAUGCAGCAACGCCGCGUGAGCGAUGAAGGUCUUCGGAUCGUAAAGCUCUGUUGUUGGGGACGAAGGGCGAAGGGUUAAUAGCCCCUAGCCUGACGGUACCCUUCGAGGAAGCCCCGGCCAACUACGUGCCAGCAGCCGCGGUAAUACGUAGGGGGCAAGCGUUGUCCGGAAUCAUUGGGCGUAAAGGGUGCGUAGGCGGCCUGGUAAGUCUGCUGUGAAAUCCUGGGGCUCAACCCCAGGCUUGCAGUGGAAACUGCCAGGCUAGAGGAUGGUAGAGGCCAGUGGAAUUCCCGGUGUAGCGGUGAAAUGCGCAGAUAUCGGGAGGAACACCAGUAGCGAAGGCGGCUGGCUGGGCCAUUCCUGACGCUGAGGCACGAAAGCUAGGGGAGCAAACAGGAUUAGAUACCCGCGUAGUCC